Long non-coding RNA from Zalophus californianus (California sea lion), 473 nucleotides. RefSeq lists it as uncharacterized. The record is from RefSeq and is a predicted model, not a curated record. Lineage: Eukaryota; Metazoa; Chordata; Mammalia; Carnivora; Otariidae. The transcript is spliced from 5 exons.
AGCUGCCGCUGCCACCAUCGCCGGACUGGCCGCCUGCGCCGGCAGACCUCUCCUCGGCCCGGGUUCUUGGGCCCGCCCGCUGGAGUGCAAAGCCGCGUGCCGCGCCCUGUCGUUGGGCCUGCGUUCCGCAAGAUGGAAUUCUCGGCCUGGGCUGAUAAUAAGCAGGCUCCAUGAAGGUACAGAGCAGCUUAUCUCCAGAACCUGGCCGCAGAGAGUGGGAGAGAUGAUUUCAGGCCAUGGCAUGGAGGCACAUGAUGAAGGAACUCUACCAGGGUCUGGUCCCCUUCCAAGUAACUUCUCUGAGGCUGUCCAAGGGCUGCUUACCUUCUCCAGGGAGAACAACAUGCUAACCUACAGACUGCUGUGUUCUUCGCACUUCCCAGCCUCUGCAUUUGCUGUUCCCUCUGCCUGGAACACUGUUCCCCUUUGCAGUUCUCUGACUCCUGCUAGGUGGGACACCAUCCUCUCUUCCC